RNAcentral lists this ribosomal RNA (253 nucleotides) under uncultured bacterium. RNAcentral's name for it is "partial 16S ribosomal RNA". It matches the Rfam family "Bacterial small subunit ribosomal RNA", at positions 524 to 776 of the family's 1533-position model. The record is from RNAcentral.
UACAGAGGGUGCAAGCGUUAAUCGGAAUUACUGGGCGUAAAGGGCGCGUAGGUGGAUAUUUAAGUGAGAGGUGAAAUCCCCGGGCUUAACCUGGGAACUGCCUCUUAUACUGGGUAUCUGGAGUGUGGUAGAGGGUAGUGGAAUUUCCGGUGUAGCGGUGAAAUGCGUAGAUAUCGGAAGGAACACCAGUGGCGAAGGCGGCUACCUGGACUAACACUGACACUGAGGCGCGAAAGCGUGGGGAGCAAACAGG